UUCUUCUUCUUCUUCUUCUCCUUUACGAGCUACAAAACUAAUUAAAAAAAAAGAGAAAUCGAACGAUAGUGAUCUUCGAACCCCCUCGGCCCCUCUCUCUCUCUCUCUCUCUCUCUCUCUCUCUCUCCUCUAUUCAAACCCUAAUCCUCGUCGGGGUAUCUCUCUCUCUCUCUCUCUCUCUCUCUCUCUCUCUCUCUCUC
RNAcentral lists this long non-coding RNA (200 nucleotides) under Ananas comosus (pineapple). Its description in RNAcentral is "long non-coding RNA (ACOM_LNC039635)". The record is from RNAcentral. Lineage: Eukaryota; Viridiplantae; Streptophyta; Magnoliopsida; Poales; Bromeliaceae.